Molecule: small nuclear RNA, 88 nt
Filed under: Jaculus jaculus (lesser Egyptian jerboa)
Lineage: Eukaryota; Metazoa; Chordata; Mammalia; Rodentia; Dipodidae
Source: RNAcentral
GUCACUUUGGCAGCACAUAUACUAAAAUUGGAAUGAUACAGAGAAGAUUAGCAUGGCCCCUGUGAAUAUAGCACUACAUCAUAUCAUU